Molecule: long non-coding RNA, 472 nt
Organism: Mobula hypostoma (lesser devil ray)
Lineage: Eukaryota; Metazoa; Chordata; Chondrichthyes; Myliobatiformes; Myliobatidae
Exons: 3
Source: RefSeq, a predicted model, not a curated record
AUGCCGUCUCCGCGAACCGUGAGCCAGCUGCUCCUCCCGCUGUCUCAGGAGCCGCCGGCCGGCGUGAGGCGACGCCGCUCUCCCUCUCUGCUCGCCGCCUUCCUCCUCCUCCUCCUCCUCAACGGCUCCACUGCCCUGGGAAUGCACAUCGGUCAAGUGACUUUCUCUGGUAAAGGUUCAGAGUUCUCAAUGGCUACCCUGCAGUUUGCUUACAAUGGAGAAGUGGCUGUUUGCUUUGAUUAUACAACAGGAAAGUUUGUGGCCAUCAAUCCAUUGUAAAGUCUUUCGUGGACGAUCUGAACUGCAAUUGAAAGGUUAUCAGAAAUGUUGCCCGCUAUGUUAAUGACAUGCCAUGGAGAUCGUUCACCUGGUUGUUCAAGCUCUGACGGGUAUUUCCACCUUACGGAAACUUUGGGUUACCGACAGUUCUUGGAACUUUCAUUUGACUUGGGAGUGACUGAAAGAACCAUAC